GACACUUUUCCUAUAUAUUGGGACCCCUCUUCUAACCAUAUACUCAGCAAAACAAACAAGCAAUUUCAGUACCUACCACGGCACACCAUCAAGUUGAUAACCUUAAAAAGGUUGGCCGGAUUAGAUGCCCUUGCCAUUAUAGAGGAACGCUUUGGCCGAGGGUCGUCGACUUAUCAUAAGAAGCCAGCCCCAUACCAAUACUAUCAGGAACCAUGUGAGCCUUACUUUAGAAUCUACCGUCCCCCGGCCAGUACCGAAGCUAUGAGUUGCAGGAGGCAGGAGGGCAGCUGAAAACAUGGCGGGAAACUGAUUAAGGAUCAUGGCCACAUAAGUAAAUCUUGUAGUCGGGGUUAUAUCUAUAAUUAACUUGGUUACCUUAGCUGCUUCUUUAUCUGCUGUUUUUUCAGUAUAACAGUAACAGCACUAAAGCUACUGUUAGGCCUUCUCAGCCGAGAGUAGUUACGGACAUACAUGCGUAUGUCUAUUUGUGUGUGCUUUGUAUGUAUGUAAGACCUUGUCGCUUAUAGAAGAUAAUGUUUUGCUUGUAAAAAUUU
Molecule: long non-coding RNA, 554 nt
Filed under: Gossypium barbadense (sea-island cotton)
Lineage: Eukaryota; Viridiplantae; Streptophyta; Magnoliopsida; Malvales; Malvaceae
Description: long non-coding RNA (GBAR_LNC020157)
Source: RNAcentral